GACGAACCGUCCAAACGUUAUUCGGAAUCACUGGGCUUAAAGGGUGCGUAGGCUGUCCGGUAAGUUGGGUGUGAAAGCCCUCGGCUCAACCGAGGAAUUGCGCCCAAAACUGUCGGGCUGGAGGGAGAUAGAGGUGAGCGGAACUAAGGGUGGAGCGGUGAAAUGCGUUGAUAUCCUUAGGAACACCAGUAGCGAAAGCGGCUCACUGGGUCUCUUCUGACGCUGAGGCACGAAAGCUAGGGGAG
RNAcentral lists this ribosomal RNA (245 nucleotides) under uncultured bacterium. Its description in RNAcentral is "partial 16S ribosomal RNA". It matches the Rfam family "Bacterial small subunit ribosomal RNA", at positions 524 to 768 of the family's 1533-position model. The record is from RNAcentral.